AUACGUAGGGGACAAGCGUUAUCCGGAUUUACUGGGUGUAAAGGGAGCGUAGGCGGCCAGCCAAGUCAGAAGUGAAAUCCCACGGCUCAACUGUGGGCGUGCUUUUGAAACUGGAGGGCUUGAGUACUGGAGGGGCAAGCGGAAUUCCUGGUGUAGCGGUGAAAUGCAUAGAUAUCAGGAAGAACACCGGAGGCGAAGGCGGCUUGCUGGACAGAGACUGACGCUGAGGCUCGAAGGCGUGGGGAGCAAACAGAAUUAGAUACCCUGGUAGUCCACGUGGUAAACGAUGAAUGCUAGGUAUUGGGCUCCAUAGGGGUUCGGUGCCGCAGUUAACGCAAUAAGCAUUCCACCUGGGGAGUACGUUCGCAAGAAUGAAACUCAAAUGAAUUGACGGGG
RNAcentral lists this ribosomal RNA (396 nucleotides) under uncultured bacterium. RNAcentral's name for it is "partial 16S ribosomal RNA". It matches the Rfam family "Bacterial small subunit ribosomal RNA", at positions 523 to 918 of the family's 1533-position model. The record is from RNAcentral.